GGAAUUUUCCGCAAUGGGCGAAAGCCUGACGGAGCAACGCCGCGUGAGGGAUGAAGGCCUCUGGGCUGUAAACCUCUUUUAUCAAGGAAGAAGAUCUGACGGUACUUGAUGAAUAAGCCACGGCUAAUUCCGUGCCAGCAGCCGCGGUAAUACGGGAGUGGCAAGCGUUAUCCGGAAUUAUUGGGCGUAAAGCGUCCGCAGGCGGUCUUGUAAGUCUGUUGUUAAAGCGUGGAGCUUAACUCCAUUUCAGCAAUGGAAACUGUAAGACUAGAGUGUGGUAGGGGCAGAGGGAAUUCCCGGUGUAGCGGUGAAAUGCGUAGAUAUCGGGAAGAACACCAGUGGCGAAGGCGCUCUGCUGGGCCAUMACUGACGCUCAUGGACGAAAGCCAGGGGAGCGAAAGGGAUUAGAUACCCCAGUAGUC
Molecule: ribosomal RNA, 422 nt
Filed under: uncultured cyanobacterium
Lineage: Bacteria; Bacillati; Cyanobacteriota
Description: bacterial SSU rRNA
Rfam family: Bacterial small subunit ribosomal RNA
Source: RNAcentral